AAGUCGUACAAGGUUGGAACAGUUACAAUCGAGCGGUAGUUCGAAAGGCAAUGUUUCCCCAAGCAGUCAGUGUCGGAAAGUGUCAUUGAUUGUGCAAGGAUGGCGCUUCUACGAUUCCUGUAGACCGUACACUCGGGCAGGAGCUUUGCCAAAGGGCCCAUGCCCCCUAAUAACCCCACAGUUUAAUGUGAAGCUCAAUGUAAUACAUUGGGUAAAAAGACCGAACAACUGUUAACAAUGGAUAUCUUGGUUCUC
This 255-nucleotide unclassified non-coding RNA is filed under the name fungal sp. Its description in RNAcentral is "partial internal transcribed spacer region". Lineage: Eukaryota; Fungi. The record is from RNAcentral.